UACGUAGGGUGCGAGCGUUAAUCGGAAUUACUGGGCGUAAAGCGUGCGUAGGUGGUUCGUUGUGUCUGUGGUGAAAGCCCCGGGCUUAACCUGGGAAUGGCGAUGGAUACUGGCUCGCUAGAGUGCGGUAGAGGGUGGUGGAAUUCCCGGUGUAGCAGUGAAAUGCGUAGAGAUCGGGAGGAACAUCAGUUGCGAAGGCGGCCACCUGGACCAGCACUGACACUGAGGCACGAAAGCGUGGGGAGCAAACAGG
Molecule: ribosomal RNA, 253 nt
Filed under: uncultured bacterium
Lineage: Bacteria
Description: partial 16S ribosomal RNA
Rfam family: Bacterial small subunit ribosomal RNA
Source: RNAcentral